Molecule: ribosomal RNA, 26 nt
Filed under: Ditylenchus dipsaci
Lineage: Eukaryota; Metazoa; Nematoda; Chromadorea; Rhabditida; Anguinidae
Description: partial 18S ribosomal RNA
Source: RNAcentral
GAACCUGCUGCCGGAUCAUUAUCGAU